UCCCAUCAUUGUAGAUGCAUCGGUCCUUGUAAGGGUCCGAUGCGUUACCGACGAUGAGGUCGUCGGUUUUAGGUGGAUGCUAGGUCCACGUCGAUACGUUGGGGCUUUGGCGAGCGCCGAUCAUUAGUCGAAGAGUUAAGUCUCCGAGAUUUCAAACCAAGUUUGUUUUCCGACUGAACAAUUACAAAGCUCAUGGGUAAUACAACUUCAAGUUGUCGGCGUUCCAAGUCCGGGGAAUGGGCUUCCCUUCAAGGGUCUCCAGCCGAUAGGCUCUCGGCCCGUAGGUGUCUGCAACCUUGUAGGGUCCUUCCCAGUUUGGAGCCAACUUUCUCUGAUCCAAGGGCUUCGAGACCUCCGCCUUCCUCAAGACCAA
Molecule: long non-coding RNA, 373 nt
Filed under: Elaeis guineensis (African oil palm)
Lineage: Eukaryota; Viridiplantae; Streptophyta; Magnoliopsida; Arecales; Arecaceae
Description: long non-coding RNA (EGUI_LNC032802)
Source: RNAcentral